Ornithorhynchus anatinus (platypus) is the source of this 793-nucleotide long non-coding RNA. RefSeq lists it as uncharacterized. NCBI's taxonomy places the organism in Eukaryota, Metazoa, Chordata, Mammalia, Monotremata, Ornithorhynchidae. The record is from RefSeq and is a predicted model, not a curated record. The transcript is spliced from 5 exons.
UAACUGAGACAAAGAGAAGUGAAGUGACUUGCCCAAGCUCAUACAGCCGAAGAAUAGAAACUACAUCUGCUUAAAGGAGCAUAAGAAAGUAUCGCGUAUUAACGAAGACCUGGGAAGAUCUUCGCAAUGCACUUCGAUGACGAUAGAUACUUAAAGAGAGUUAAAGCAGCACCCCCCUGCCAAUGAUGCAAGCCAGAGAUGACAUGGGAGAAUGUCCCCAGAUCAGCUACUCUGAGCAGCUAAACAGACCAACAAGACCUUCCCCAAAUGGUCUGUGCCCUUAUUUCUCGGAAGAGAUUCUUGUUGAGAAGGAGAUCCCAGAAGAUCCCUGUUCUAAGAUCCAUUCUAGAGAUUUGGAGGGGUGUUUUCCAAGUCCUUCUAAGCCUAGAAGGAACCCACUGAAGCGUGAAUGUGCUAUUCAGAAUUGACAUACCUCCACUGCCAUUCCUUUCUGAAUAUAAGAAGGUGGUGUACUGUUCAAGUCAGAGAAGAAGCACAGGAUUGGAAGGAAAAUCUGGCAAUUGAAACGAGCCCCCAAAGGGCGUUUUAAGCUAUUUCUUUACUUUUUGGCCAGCGAGACGGAGAACUGCACAUACCUUCCUUAUAAGGAGUAGUCUCCAAGCUUCUCCAUUAUCUGUACUCUCUUGAGGGAAGAAAGGGCACAAGGUAGCCAACUGCAGCGCGGACCUUGAGAAGAUUUUGGAUGAUGGGAGUUAUACACUUAUAGAAGAUCAGCCGUGAUGAGAAGGCACAAGUUAAGCACAAUCAUCUCAAGGAGUGUAAUCUCUGAAUC